AACCAGCUCUUCAAGUUGUCGGGACGAUUACUGGGCUUAAAGAGUCCGUAGCCGGUUUAGCAAGUCCCUGGUAAAAUCUGGCAGCUUAACUGCCAGUAGGCUAGGGAAACUACUUUACUAGAGGGCGGGAAAGGUCUGGGGUACUUCAGGGGUAGGGGUGGAAUCCUAUAAUCCUUGGGGGACCACCAGUGGCGAAAGCGCCAGACUGGAACGCGCCUGACGGUGAGGGACGAAAGCCAGGGGAG
This 245-nucleotide ribosomal RNA is filed under the name uncultured archaeon. RNAcentral's name for it is "partial 16S ribosomal RNA". It matches the Rfam family "Archaeal small subunit ribosomal RNA", at positions 474 to 719 of the family's 1478-position model. The record is from RNAcentral.